Molecule: ribosomal RNA, 440 nt
Filed under: uncultured Sulfurovum sp.
Lineage: Bacteria; Pseudomonadati; Campylobacterota; Epsilonproteobacteria; Campylobacterales; Sulfurovaceae
Description: partial 16S ribosomal RNA
Source: RNAcentral
GACUACUCGGGUAUCUAAGCCUGUUUGCUCCCCACGCUUUCGCGCCUCAGCGUCAGUACUGUUCCAGAAGAUCGCCUUCGCUUUUGGUAUUCCUAGUGAUCUCUACGGAUUUUACCCCUACACCACUAAUUCCAUCUUCCCCUCCCAGACUCUAGCCCAUCAGUUUUGGAUGCAGUUCUAUGGUUGAGCCAUAGGAUUUCACAUCCAACUUAAUGGGCCGCCUGCGCGCGCUUUACGCCCAGUGAUUCCGAGUAACGCUUGCACCCUCCGUAUUACCGCGGCUGCUGGCACGGAGUUAGCCGGUGCUUAUUCAUAUGGUACCGUCAUUAUCUUCCCAUAUAAAAGGAGUUUACGCACCGAAAUGUGUCAUCCUCCACGCGGCGUUGCUACAUCAGAGUUUCCUCCAUUGUGUAAUAUUCCCCACUGCAGCCCCCCGUAGG